GCUCGAGUGGCGAACGGGUGAGUGACACGUGAGUAACCUGCCCUUGACUUUGGGAUAACUUCAGGAAACUGGGGCUAAUACCGGAUAGGAGCUCCUGCUGCAUGGUGGGGGUUGGAAAGUUUCGGCGGUUGGGGAUGGACUCGCGGCUUAUCAGCUUGUUGGUGGGGUAGUGGCUUACCAAGGCUUUGACGGGUAGCCGGCCUGAGAGGGUGACCGGCCACAUUGGGACUGAGAUACGGCCCAG
This 244-nucleotide ribosomal RNA is filed under the name uncultured Actinomycetales bacterium. RNAcentral describes it as "partial 16S ribosomal RNA". It matches the Rfam family "Bacterial small subunit ribosomal RNA", at positions 89 to 334 of the family's 1533-position model. The record is from RNAcentral. Lineage: Bacteria; Bacillati; Actinomycetota; Actinomycetes; Actinomycetales.